Molecule: non-coding RNA, 252 nt
Organism: Escherichia coli ISC11
Lineage: Bacteria; Pseudomonadati; Pseudomonadota; Gammaproteobacteria; Enterobacterales; Enterobacteriaceae
Source: Rfam
CCUGCAGAACUGUUAGCACCCUAUACCGGCGAUAUCGUCGCGGAAGGGGUCAGCAAAGUCUUGCGUGGUGGAGCGAAGUUCCUGUGCCAUAACUUUCAGCGCCAGCAGCGCUAUGUCGCCGAAGCGAUCACCGAAGAGUGGCGCAUGGCUCCUGGCCCACUAGAGGUUGCAUGGUUUGCUGAAGAAACGGCAGCCGUUGAGCGCGCGGUUGAAUCUCUGGCCAAACGGCUGGAAAAACUGGAGGCCAAAUGA